UGGGGUUGUGGCUCAGCGGUAGAGCGCUUGCCUCACAUGCACGAGACCCUGAGUUCGAUCCUCAGCACCACAU
Molecule: transfer RNA, 73 nt
Filed under: Ictidomys tridecemlineatus (thirteen-lined ground squirrel)
Lineage: Eukaryota; Metazoa; Chordata; Mammalia; Rodentia; Sciuridae
Description: tRNA-Val (CAC) (tRNA-Val-CAC-7-1)
Rfam family: tRNA
About the family: Transfer RNA (tRNA) molecules are approximately 80 nucleotides in length. Their secondary structure includes four short double-helical elements and three loops (D, anti-codon, and T loops). Further hydrogen bonds mediate the characteristic L-shaped molecular structure. tRNAs have two regions of fundamental functional importance: the anti-codon, which is responsible for specific mRNA codon recognition, and the 3' end, to which the tRNAs corresponding amino acid is attached (by aminoacyl-tRNA synthetases). tRNAs cope with the degeneracy of the genetic code in two manners: having more than one tRNA (with a specific anti-codon) for a particular amino acid; and 'wobble' base-pairing, i.e. permitting non-standard base-pairing at the 3rd anti-codon position.
Source: RNAcentral